RNAcentral lists this ribosomal RNA (497 nucleotides) under uncultured bacterium. RNAcentral's name for it is "partial 16S ribosomal RNA". It matches the Rfam family "Bacterial small subunit ribosomal RNA", at positions 28 to 507 of the family's 1533-position model. The record is from RNAcentral.
GAUGAACGCUGGCGGCGUGCCUAAUACAUGCAAGUCGAGCGAACAGACGAGGAGCUUGCUCCUCUGACGUUAGCGGCGGACGGGUGAGUAACACGUGGAUAACCUACCUAUAAGACUGGGAUAACUUCGGGAAACCGGAGCUAAUACCGGAUAAUAUAUUGAACCGCAUGGUUCAAUAGUGAAAGACGGUUUUGCUGUCACUUAUAGAUGGAUCCGCGCCGCAUUAGCUAGUUGGUAAGGUAACAGCUUACCAAGGCAACGAUGCGUAGCCGACCUGAGAGGGUGAUCGGCCGCCCUGGAACUGGGACACGGUCCAGACUCCUACGGGAGGCAGCAGUAGGGAAUCUUCCGCAAUGGGCGAAAGCCUGACGGAGCAACGGCGCGUGAGUGAUGAAGGUCUUCGGAUCGUAAAACUCUGUUAUUAGGGAAGAACAAAUGUGUAAGUAACUAUGCACGUCUUGACGGUACCUAAUCAGAAAGCCACGGCUAACUACGUG